CCACAGAACUUUCCAGAGAUGGAUUGGUGCCUUCGGGAACUGUGAGACAGGUGCUGCAUGGCUGUCGUCAGCUCGUGUUGUGAAAUGUUGGGUUAAGUCCCGCAACGAGCGCAACCCUUAUCCUCUGUUGCCAGCGAUUCGGUCGGGAACUCAGGGGAGACUGCCGGUGAUAAACCGGAGGAAGGUGGGGAUGACGUCAAGUCAUCAUGGCCCUUACGGCCAGGGCUACACACGUGCUACAAUGGCGCAUACAAAGAGAAGCGACCUCGCGAGAGCAAGCGGAUCUCAUAAAGUGCGUCGUAGUCCGGAUCGGAGUCUGCAACUCGACUCCGUGAAGUCGGAAUCGCUAGUAAUCGUGGAUCAGAAUGCCACGGUGAAUACGUUCCCGGGCCUUGUACACACCGCCCGUCACACCAUGGGAGUGGGUUGCAAAAGAAGUAGGUAGCUUAACCUUCGGGAGGGCGCUUACCACUUUGUGAUUCAUGACUGGGGUGAAGUCGUAACAAGGUAAGCGUAGCGAG
Molecule: ribosomal RNA, 521 nt
Filed under: uncultured bacterium
Lineage: Bacteria
Description: bacterial SSU rRNA
Rfam family: Bacterial small subunit ribosomal RNA
Source: RNAcentral